RNAcentral lists this ribosomal RNA (253 nucleotides) under uncultured bacterium. RNAcentral describes it as "partial 16S ribosomal RNA". It matches the Rfam family "Bacterial small subunit ribosomal RNA", at positions 524 to 776 of the family's 1533-position model. The record is from RNAcentral.
UACGAAGGGGGCGAGCGUUGUUCGGAUUUACUGGGCGUAAAGGGCGCGCAGGCGGCAGACCAAGUCAGGCGUGAAAGCCCCGGGCUUAACCUGGGAGGUGCGUCUGGGACUGGUAUGCUAGAGUUCGGGAGAGGAGAGUGGAAUUCCCAGUGUAGAGGUGAAAUUCGUAGAUAUUGGGAAGAACACCGGUGGCGAAGGCGGCUCUCUGGACCGGUACUGACGCUGAGGUGCGAAAGCGUGGGGAGCGAACAGG